GCCCAAUGAUGAGACCAAGGCGAAUAUGAGCUUACUGAAUGAGAGUUAGGUUCUUCUUGCCUUGACUGGCAGGUAAUCUUGGCAGUGUAGAGGAGGAUUCCUGCUCUGCUGUAAGGGCCUGCCCACAGUGAUUUGGCUUAACCCAAAUUACUCCUGCAGUAGAAGUUAGUGGAGUAAUCACAGGGAUAAAGCUAACAGUGUGUAUGUGUAGUGUGUGUGUGUGUGUGUGUGUGUGUGUGUGUGUGUGUGUGUGAGUGUGUUGGAGGCAUGGAGGACACCCAGCUCUCUUCACUGUUCAGUUGGCAAUGACUUUUGUCUUUGGUAAUCUGAGGGCC
This is a small nucleolar RNA of Sphaeramia orbicularis (orbiculate cardinalfish), 335 nucleotides long. The record is from Ensembl. Lineage: Eukaryota; Metazoa; Chordata; Actinopteri; Kurtiformes; Apogonidae.